RNAcentral lists this ribosomal RNA (440 nucleotides) under uncultured Pantoea sp. Its description in RNAcentral is "bacterial SSU rRNA". It matches the Rfam family "Bacterial small subunit ribosomal RNA", at positions 358 to 790 of the family's 1533-position model. The record is from RNAcentral. Lineage: Bacteria; Pseudomonadati; Pseudomonadota; Gammaproteobacteria; Enterobacterales; Erwiniaceae.
GGAAUAUUGCACAAUGGGCGCAAGCCUGAUGCAGCCAUGCCGCGUGUAUGAAGAAGGCCUUCGGGUUGUAAAGUACUUUCAGCGGGGAGGAAGGCGGUGAGGUUAAUAACCUUACCGAUUGACGUUACCCGCAGAAGAAGCACCGGCUAACUCCGUGCCAGCAGCCGCGGUAAUACGGAGGGUGCAAGCGUUAAUCGGAAUUACUGGGCGUAAAGCGCACGCAGGCGGUCUGUUAAGUCAGAUGUGAAAUCCCCGGGCUUAACCUGGGAACUGCAUUUGAAACUGGCAGGCUUGAGUCUUGUAGAGGGGGGUAGAAUUCCAGGUGUAGCGGUGAAAUGCGUAGAGAUCUGGAGGAAUACCGGUGGCGAAGGCGGCCCCCUGGACAAAGACUGACGCUCAGGUGCGAAAGCGUGGGGAGCAAACAGGAUUAGAUACCCGGG